This is a long non-coding RNA of Aplysia californica (California sea hare), 971 nucleotides long. RefSeq lists it as uncharacterized. The record is from RefSeq and is a predicted model, not a curated record. Lineage: Eukaryota; Metazoa; Mollusca; Gastropoda; Aplysiida; Aplysiidae. The transcript is spliced from 3 exons.
CUGUUGCUAUCUGUCUUGCUUCUUCCCUGCGCUAUAUAUGACCGUUAUUGUGUCGAUGUGGUACUCUUUACUCAAGAUCAAGCUCAGACUAAAACUCCAGCCUCAUUCCAACCAAAUCCCUUCUUCUUAUAAUUUUCUACUAAAAAGGGCAUGUGGAAGUUUUGUGAAAAUGUAUACCUUUAUAACACAAAUAUCGCUCGACAUGUAAACCUCUACAUGGGGCGUUUCGUUAGCUCAGUUGAUAUAUCACGGUGGACUACCGGGAAAAAACGGUCGUGGCUCGGACCCCUGACUGUGGGUUCUUGAACUUUGUGGAGUUUGAAAUUGAUACUUUUCCCCUUCUUAUUGUUGUUUCAAUCUGUCUGUUUGUCUUUCAAAUUUUUUUUUCUUGAGUGAUGAAUUGCAUUAUCCUUCUCUUUACUGAAACUGAAAGAUAUUUCUAAACGUUCUGAACAUUUUUAAAGUAACCUUGUAUACGCACGGUGGAAGAAUUUUAAAAUACCCCACCAUUCGCGUGCACUCUUUUCUUUCCUCGCCCGCUGGGACACCAAAACGUACCCGUAUAGAUAUCUAUGCUAAAUAAACGUUCUUUCUGUAGCCUCCGGAGGGUUAAGGUGGAACGAAAACCCUUCCUGACCCGACUGCUGAUGAUGUGAAGUGAAUUGAAGUGUGAGAGAGGGGGAGAAAGAAGAGUGAGAGGGAGAGAGGUUGGGGGGGGGCGGGGGAGAGUAUGUGUAGAUAUUAGCGUAGCGUACGUUCCUGUCUUCAUACUCUGUGGAGAGACUGCGGGAACAGAAUGGAAUUCACCAGCCUCUAUUCAGAGAGCGAGGAGUGUUGAGAGCAGCGCUGGCGUACUGUUUGAGCUGUGAGUGCAGUCUGCUUCUGCACGUGCGUGAUACGCCUAUGGCCAAAUGACACGACCCGCCCACUCAGGAUAUAAGACAAAGUCAUAACCACAAAGACAAAAAAAA